RNAcentral lists this ribosomal RNA (248 nucleotides) under uncultured Butyricimonas sp. RNAcentral's name for it is "partial 16S ribosomal RNA". It matches the Rfam family "Bacterial small subunit ribosomal RNA", at positions 524 to 772 of the family's 1533-position model. Lineage: Bacteria; Pseudomonadati; Bacteroidota; Bacteroidia; Bacteroidales; Odoribacteraceae. The record is from RNAcentral.
UACGGGGGAUGCGAGCGUUAUCCGGAUUUAUUGGGUUUAAAGGGCGCGUAGGCGGGACGUCAAGUCAGCGGUAAAAGACUGCAGCUAAACUGUAGCACGCCGUUGAAACUGGCGCCCUGGAGACGAGACGAGGGAGGCGGAACAAGUGAAGUAGCGGUGAAAUGCAUAGAUAUCACUUGGAACCCCGAUAGCGAAGGCAGCUUCCCAGGCUCGUUCUGACGCUGAUGCGCGAGAGCGUGGGUAGCGAA